Molecule: ribosomal RNA, 2064 nt
Filed under: Triticum aestivum (bread wheat)
Lineage: Eukaryota; Viridiplantae; Streptophyta; Magnoliopsida; Poales; Poaceae
Description: partial small subunit ribosomal RNA
Source: RNAcentral
CAAAAGAGAUCCUAGGUGAAGGGCUUAGCUAGCCGAAGAUAGAGCGGUUUAGCUAGGGGAGGGUAAAGGUUGGGGAUGAGCUCGGGAUCGGUCAUCGUUGACAGCGCGGCGGCGGCCGGCGAGGCACGCCGAGGUGGCGGACGGAGAGGCACGUCGACGACGGACGGCGCGGUGGAGGACGGCGAGGACGGCGACGACGGACGACUCGGUGGCGGGCUGCAACUCUUCCAGCAUCGAAACCGCCGUCGCUGUGAUGGAGGCCGCGACCAUGGAUUUAAAAACAUCCGGAUUUUACAAGGAGGGCCGAUUUAAACUGAGGACCCAGGCGGCGACAGGUCCCCACUUAUUACCGCAGCGCCGUCCGGCGGCCGGAGUGGCUGAUGCUCGCCGAGGCGCUCCUCUUGUAGGCGGCGUUGCUCCGGUAGGAGCGGAGGGAGGCGGCGUUCCGGCUGCUCGAGAGCCGCCGGUAGUUCAGGAGCAGGUUUGCUCCUGUUCCCGCGGGGUCGUUAGUCGGGGCGUUCUUCGGGCGGCGGUUCUGUUCGGGGCCGCUCGAGGCGGCGAGGGAGGCCGAGAGGGUCGAGGGGGGGAGGGUGAGGGGCCUGCGGCUCGGGUGCGGGCCCGGGGGAGGCCACGGGGCGUCGUGGUCGAAGAGGAGGAGCGAGCGCAGGAGGUAGUAGCUCAGGCGGAGCGAGCGCGGCGGACGGUCCCGAGCCCGCCUGCCAAAGCUACGGCCCUUCCUCGAGCACGACUGCGGACGCUUGCAGUCCUUCCACCACGGGCUGUCCUAUGAACCCCAAGCCCAGGACGGCGACCAGCUGGCCUGGCACCAGCGCCGCCCCUUGUUCAACCCCUUAUAACCCAAGACCCAACACCUGCCGUACCACCUUCUACUCCUACCGCUGCUACCACGUCUACCCGACAAGCUCAUAAACGGAGUGUCCCCGGGACACGGUCGUUAGCACCGCGUGGGACGGCGCGGUGUCUUCUAAAUGUCGACAUCAAUACUCCCACUUUAAACAGAAUACCUGGAACUCUUCCUCUCGAAAUUAUACUAGGUCAACACGCUGAUAGGACAAAUAAGCGAAACAGUUCGUGGUCUAUCAGGAUCGACGGAUAUAAAACCACUGCCUUUACCACUUGACUUUGAGGAACUACUCGCCUACCCAUUCCAUAGUUCGUGUACCCUAAGUGUACUGUUAUGUUAAUUGAGUUAUCUAAAAGUAGGUCUCUUUUCUGUAUACGAACGGUGUUCAAGUUGUCUAGCUUGUCGUGCGUAUACCCUAGAGUCUUCCGAAUUUUCCUUCUUUCUUCUCUCGAACUUCCAAGAUUUUGUAUUAUCUAGACAAGUCAGUCGAAUAAAGAGUGGAUCACCGUCGUACGAUCGUUGUUGUUCGGAGCUACUGUGACAGGCUCAGAAAACACCCCUACUGAAACUAUCCAGUGUGUAAUAGUUCGUAUUAUUGGUCUGUCCGUCUACCUAAAGAUGUAAGUUCCGUUAGACCCCGACCUUGCUGUGGCUGGACAAAUAACCUUUGUACUCUUCCCGUUAUCUAUAAUAGAGUCAACCACCACUACUGUCAUCGGAGAGUCGAAGCUUGUCGCGUUCGGACCUCUCACUUGUGUACUGCCGGUAAGGUACGUCCAAAAGGCGUGUGGGUAUAUUUCAACCCGUAGAACGAACGCGUUCGAGGCCACCCUUCCACAAGAAAACCUGGUCUCGAACUUAGUUGUUCUAGAGGCCACCGACUGAACGCUUAACAAUGGCCAAGACAAUCUCACAAUCAAUCAGUACGAUCCUUGGAUCACGAACAAAUCAUAGGACGAAUUCUAAUCGUAUCACAUGGUAAAAAGGAAGAUUACAAAAUCACCACCUCGUGAACUUACGACAGUCUCUUUGGGACCCGUCGACCCUUGGCCAAAAGUGACGGUCUCACAAAAGUUCGAGCAUAGGAAUGUAACAAAGGACGGUCAAGGACUACGUUUAGGAUAGAUCAAUCGCACUUGUAAUUUAACUACGGCAAAACCAACAGUUCAGGUCUACGCGAAACAAGACUUCGUGGCAAU